Chinchilla lanigera (long-tailed chinchilla) is the source of this 915-nucleotide long non-coding RNA. RefSeq lists it as uncharacterized. The transcript has 5 exons. NCBI's taxonomy places the organism in Eukaryota, Metazoa, Chordata, Mammalia, Rodentia, Chinchillidae. The record is from RefSeq and is a predicted model, not a curated record.
CAGACACACUCUUUGUAGCUCUUGCCAAAGAGCUGCAUGCCGACCACGGCAAAGAUGAAGACGAUGAUGGCCAACACCAAGCACUUUUCGAACUCAGCUUGGACGUUUCUGAGGAGCUCUCUGAGAGGCCCAGGAUUUGGCUUCGUCUCAUACUUGUGUAUUCAGCCGCUGCCGCCGCCGCUGCUAUUGCCUGUGCACCCGAGACAUUGCGCUCCAUAACUCACCUGAAAAUUCUGGGAGACCCUCUGGCAGCUUUUAGAAGAAAACAAACCAGGUAAUACAUACCCUGAAUCUGUGCUGAAACCACAAAGGAGAGCAUCUUUGGAUCCCUCCAAGUAAUAAACAUAUUCUGUUUAGGAAGAAUUUGAACAAUGUAGCAUUACAAUGUCAACUGGAAGAGUGGCAUAUCAAGCAAUUUCUUAAGAAACAAUUCUGUUGUACCAACAUCAUUUCCAAUGCCUCCUGUUGUCUUUAUUAAGAUUUCAAUGGCUUCAGAAAACUGAGUUUCUUGAUUAAAAGAGGUUGCCCAUGAAGAGCUGCAGUCCUAUGAGUGCAAACACGCUCAGACAGAACACAGUCAGGAUCAUGACAUCUGACAGCUUCUUCACCGACUGGAUCAGCGCCCCCACAAUGGUCUUCAGGCCUGCAGAUGGAGAAAAGAGGUGUUCAUACGGGCACAAAGCCUCCAAAUGAGGUACAAAAGCAAAACACCGGCUUUCUUAGGGAUGCAUGCAUUAUGUCGGGUCAAUGACUGUAAGUAAUUUAACUCAGAAGAGCUUAGAGGUUGAAAGGGGUGGAUUUGCCAUUUUAUAUGCACAGUGUUUUCAUAUAUUAAAGCAAAUGAUUAAAAUUGUAAAAUAUUACCAGAAAUAUUUAAGUUCUCAAAUGAAGAAUUUGGUUGCUCGAACGAUAUUC